UACUCCAGUCCUCUCCACCCCAAGGUAGGCAGCUUCCCGCUCCUCGUCUUGGGACCUAAACCCAGGAAGUCAAAUGUCCUUUUCUAGCAGGUCGCCUGGUUAGAGGCCGUGGACGAAGCGGUCCAGGCACAGCCAGCUGCAGGGCGCGGCCUCGGCGGCGCUGCUCGUGGCCCUGGUCAGUGAGCGCACUCACUCCUGGACUAAGCUCUAUGCAACUCAUUUUCAUCUAGCAUUACCUCUCCAAAACCUGAAUCUCCACAAGAAAGCCACACAGCAAUUAACCAGUGUUGCAAGAACUGCUUCUGUAAUAAAGGUGGGAAGACAAAUUGAUGCAACCCUCUUGAAAAGCAAUCUGGCAAUAUGAACCAAGAGCCAUGAAAAGGCUUAUGCUAUUAUAAUUAAAUGGCUGUAAUGUUGGCUGUAAAUAUGAAAUUUUCUUUCACACACCAAUGUUUUCAAGAAUGGCAUAUUCACAUGCAGUAUGUGUUAUUGCUGGUGAAAAGGAUGUUUAAGCAGAGUGAGAGACUCUCAGCAAAAAAAGGUAACUGAAAGAGUGGUAAGUCAGACAAAGAAGAAAAAUGCCAAAGAAGAGGGUCAAGAACAACUCAUAUGACUCCGAAAUCCCUUACCCACAUUGGAGUUAUAAAAAGUUCAGGAGCUGGAGACAAAAGGCAGGUUCAUAAAGAGGAUUCCUUGGAGAGAGUUGUUAUAAUGCUAUGAGAAAAUUGAAGCCAACAGAAGUUAACUAACUUGCCUAAAAUAACACAGCUGUGGCAAAUUAGGACCAGAACCAAGGUCUCCUGACCUAAGUGCUACUCCCACCAUACUACAUGAUCUGCUGUUUAAAAUUUUGGUGAGCUUUAUAACAUAAAUAAAACUACAGAUGUGAA
This 890-nucleotide long non-coding RNA is filed under the name Homo sapiens (human). RNAcentral's name for it is "long intergenic non-protein coding RNA 3076". Lineage: Eukaryota; Metazoa; Chordata; Mammalia; Primates; Hominidae. The record is from RNAcentral.